Molecule: transfer RNA, 85 nt
Filed under: Rubrobacter sp.
Lineage: Bacteria; Bacillati; Actinomycetota; Rubrobacteria; Rubrobacterales; Rubrobacteraceae
Also listed under: 3 other names
Description: tRNA-Leu
Rfam family: tRNA
About the family: Transfer RNA (tRNA) molecules are approximately 80 nucleotides in length. Their secondary structure includes four short double-helical elements and three loops (D, anti-codon, and T loops). Further hydrogen bonds mediate the characteristic L-shaped molecular structure. tRNAs have two regions of fundamental functional importance: the anti-codon, which is responsible for specific mRNA codon recognition, and the 3' end, to which the tRNAs corresponding amino acid is attached (by aminoacyl-tRNA synthetases). tRNAs cope with the degeneracy of the genetic code in two manners: having more than one tRNA (with a specific anti-codon) for a particular amino acid; and 'wobble' base-pairing, i.e. permitting non-standard base-pairing at the 3rd anti-codon position.
Source: RNAcentral
GGGCGAGUGGCGGAAUUGGCAGACGCGCAGGAUUCAGGUUCCUGUGUCCUUCUAGGACUUGGGGGUUCAAGUCCCCCCUCGCCCA